Molecule: ribosomal RNA, 467 nt
Filed under: uncultured bacterium
Lineage: Bacteria
Description: partial 16S ribosomal RNA
Rfam family: Bacterial small subunit ribosomal RNA
Source: RNAcentral
AGUGAACGCUGGCGGUAGGCCUAACACAUGCAAGUCGAACGGCAGCACAGUAAGAGCUUGCUCUUACGGGUGGCGAGUGGCGGACGGGUGAGGAAUACAUCGGAAUCUACUUUUUCGUGGGGGAUAACGUAGGGAAACUUACGCUAAUACCGCAUACGACCUACGGGUGAAAGCAGGGGAUCUUCGGACCUUGCGCGAUUGAAUGAGCCGAUGUCGGAUUAGCUAGUUGGCGGGGUAAAGGCCCACCAAGGCGACGAUCCGUAGCUGGGCUGAGAGGAUGAGCAGCCACCCUGGACGUGAGACACGGGCGAGAAUCCUUCGGGAGGGAGCAGAAGGGUAUAUUGGACAAUGGGCGAAAGUGUGGUAGACCUAUGCCGCGUAAGUGAUGUUGGUCGUAGGGUAGUAAAGCCCUUUUAACCGGGAUGAUAAUGACCGUACCGGAAGAAUAAGCCCCGGCUAACUUCGUG